RNAcentral lists this unclassified non-coding RNA (240 nucleotides) under Glomus sp. RNAcentral's name for it is "partial contains 5.8S ribosomal RNA and internal transcribed spacer 2". The stretch from base 1 to 65 matches the Rfam family "5.8S ribosomal RNA", at positions 84 to 154 of the family's 154-position model. The record is from RNAcentral. Lineage: Eukaryota; Fungi; Glomeromycota; Glomeromycetes; Glomerales; Glomeraceae.
GUGAAUCAUCGAAUUUUUGAACGCAAAUUGCACUCUCUUCGGAGAGUAUGCCUGUUUGAGGGUCAGCCUAAAAAAAAUCGACAGAGUUGCUGUUACGCGGUAACAUUCGUCGGAAAUUGUGUCAUCUUACACCUUUGGGUUUAAGCGGUUUAAUAUUUUCUUUACGACUCCAAUAACGUUUCUAAGAUUUUAUUUUCUUUUACGUUUAUGGUAGCGAUCUUUAUUAGUCGUUGCGGUUGC